Molecule: ribosomal RNA, 605 nt
Filed under: Paracoccus sp. TMNR1.3
Lineage: Bacteria; Pseudomonadati; Pseudomonadota; Alphaproteobacteria; Rhodobacterales; Paracoccaceae
Description: bacterial SSU rRNA
Rfam family: Bacterial small subunit ribosomal RNA
Source: RNAcentral
UGCAGUCGAGCGGACCUUUCGGGGUCAGCGGCGGACGGGUGAGUAACGCGUGGGAAUAUGCCCUUCUCUACGGAAUAGUCCUGGGAAACUGGGGGUAAUACCGUAUACGCCCUUUGGGGGAAAGAUUUAUCGGGGAAGGAUUAGCCCGCGUUGGAUUAGGUAGUUGGUGGGGUAAUGGCCUACCAAGCCGACGAUCCAUAGCUGGUUUGAGAGGAUGAUCAGCCACACUGGGACUGAGACACGGCCCAGACUCCUACGGGAGGCAGCAGUGGGGAAUCUUAGACAAUGGGGGCAACCCUGAUCUAGCCAUGCCGCGUGAGUGAUGAAGGCCUUAGGGUUGUAAAGCUCUUUCAGCUGGGAAGAUAAUGACGGUACCAGCAGAGGAAGCCCCGGCUAACUCCGUGCCAGCAGCCGCGGUAAUACGGAGGGGGCUAGCGUUGUUCGGAAUUACUGGGCGUAAAGCGCACGUAGGCGGAUCGGAAAGUUGGGGGUGAAAUCCCGGGGCUCAACCUCGGAACUGCCUUCAAAACUACUGGUCUUGAGUUCGAGAGAGGUGAGUGGAAUUCCGAGUGUAGAGGUGAAAUUCGCACAUAUUCGGAGGAACA